AGUGAAAGCAGUGGGAGCCUCUUUUAUGGGGUGACUGCGUACCUUUUGUAUAAUGGGUCAGCGACUUAUAUUCUGUAGCAAGGUUAACCGAAUAGGGGAGCCGAAGGGAAACCGAGUCUUAACUGGGCGUUAAGUUGCAGGGUAUAGACCCGAAACCCGGUGAUCUAGCCAUGGGCAGGUUGAAGGUUGGGUAACACUAACUGGAGGACCGAACCGACUAAUGUUGAAAAAUUAGCGGAUGACUUGUGGCUGGGGGUGAAAGGCCAAUCAAACCGGGAGAUAGCUGGUUCUCCCCGAAAGCUAUUUAGGUAGCGCCUCGUGAAUUCAUCUCCGGGGGUAGAGCACUGUUUCGGCAAGGGGGUCAUCCCGACUUACCAACCCGAUGCAAACUGCGAAUACCGGAGAAUGUUAUCACGGGAGACACACGGCGGGUGCUAACGUCCGUCGUGAAGAGGGAAACAACCCAGACCGCCAGCUAAGGUCCCAAAGUCAUGGUUAAGUGGGAAACGAUGUGGGAAGGCCCAGACAGCCAGGAUGUUGGCUUAGAAGCAGCCAUCAUUUAAAGAAAGCGUAAUAGCUCACUGGUCGAGUCGGCCUGCGCGGAAGAUGUAACGGGGCUAAACCAUGCACCGAAGCUGCGGCAGCGACACUGUGUGUUGUUGGGUAGGGGAGCGUUCUGUAAGCCUGUGAAGGUGUGCUGUGAGGCAUGCUGGAGGUAUCAGAAGUGCGAAUGCUGACAUAAGUAACGAUAAAGCGGGUGAAAAGCCCGCUCGCCGGAAGACCAAGGGUUCCUGUCCAACGUUAAUCGGGGCAGGGUGAGUCGACCCCUAAGGCGAGGCCGAAAGGCGUAGUCGAUGGGAAACAGGUUAAUAUUCCUGUACUUGGUGUUACUGCGAAGGGGGGACGGAGAAGGCUAUGUUGGCCGGGCGACGGUUGUCCCGGUUUAAGCGUGUAGGCUGGUUUUCCAGGCAAAUCCGGAAAAUCAAGGCUGAGGCGUGAUGACGAGGCACUACGGUGCUGAAGCAACAAAUGCCCUGCUUCCAGGAAAAGCCUCUAAGCAUCAGGUAACAUCAAAUCGUACCCCAAACCGACACAGGUGGUCAGGUAGAGAAUACCAAGGCGCUUGAGAGAACUCGGGUGAAGGAACUAGGCAAAAUGGUGCCGUAACUUCGGGAGAAGGCACGCUGAUAUGUAGGUGAAGUCCCUCGCGGAUGGAGCUGAAAUCAGUCGAAGAUACCAGCUGGCUGCAACUGUUUAUUAAAAACACAGCACUGUGCAAACACGAAAGUGGACGUAUACGGUGUGACGCCUGCCCGGUGCCGGAAGGUUAAUUGAUGGGGUCAGCGCAAGCGAAGCUCUUGAUCGAAGCCCCGGUAAACGGCGGCCGUAACUAUAACGGUCCUAAGGUAGCGAAAUUCCUUGUCGGGUAAGUUCCGACCUGCACGAAUGGCGUAAUGAUGGCCAGGCUGUCUCCACCCGAGACUCAGUGAAAUUGAACUCGCUGUGAAGAUGCAGUGUACCCGCGGCAAGACGGAAAGACCCCGUGAACCUUUACUAUAGCUUGACACUGAACAUUGAGCCUUGAUGUGUAGGAUAGGUGGGAGGCUUUGAAGUGUGGACGCCAGUCUGCAUGGAGCCGACCUUGAAAUACCACCCUUUAAUGUUUGAUGUUCUAACGUGGACCCGUGAUCCGGGUUGCGGACAGUGUCUGGUGGGUAGUUUGACUGGGGCGGUCUCCUCCUAAAGAGUAACGGAGGAGCACGAAGGUUGGCUAAUCCUGGUCGGACAUCAGGAGGUUAGUGCAAUGGCAUAAGCCAGCUUGACUGCGAGCGUGACGGCGCGAGCAGGUGCGAAAGCAGGUCAUAGUGAUCCGGUGGUUCUGAAUGGAAGGGCCAUCGCUCAACGGAUAAAAGGUACUCCGGGGAUAACAGGCUGAUACCGCCCAAGAGUUCAUAUCGACGGCGGUGUUUGGCACCUCGAUGUCGGCUCAUCACAUCCUGGGGCUGAAGUAGGUCCCAAGGGUAUGGCUGUUCGCCAUUUAAAGUGGUACGCGAGCUGGGUUUAGAACGUCGUGAGACAGUUCGGUCCCUAUCUGCCGUGGGCGCUGGAGAACUGAGGGGGGCUGCUCCUAGUACGAGAGGACCGGAGUGGACGCAUCACUGGUGUUCGGGUUGUCAUGCCAAUGGCACUGCCCGGUAGCUAAAUGCGGAAGAGAUAAGUGCUGAAAGCAUCUAAGCACGAAACUUGCCCCGAGAUGAGUUCUCCCUGACCCUUUAAGGGUCCUGAAGGAACGUUGAAGACGACGACGUUGAUAGGCCGGGUGUGUAAGCGCAGCGAUGCGUUGAGCUAACCGGUACUAAUGAACCGUGAGGCUUAACCUU
Molecule: ribosomal RNA, 2381 nt
Filed under: Escherichia coli
Lineage: Bacteria; Pseudomonadati; Pseudomonadota; Gammaproteobacteria; Enterobacterales; Enterobacteriaceae
Description: bacterial LSU rRNA
Rfam family: Bacterial large subunit ribosomal RNA
Source: RNAcentral